Callorhinus ursinus (northern fur seal) is the source of this 1891-nucleotide non-coding RNA. NCBI's taxonomy places the organism in Eukaryota, Metazoa, Chordata, Mammalia, Carnivora, Otariidae. The record is from RefSeq and is a predicted model, not a curated record.
AGAUAUUAAUCUUUAAAGAGAAUCCUCAGAUGCACUGUAGGGGCUCUCUAUUUAAUGUAUGGUGAAAUAAAAUGAAAUAAAAUGUUUUUAAGUUUGUAACAUUAAAAAUAAUCUAAUUCAUUUUUUGGUAGAUGUAACAUGUAAUGAAUUGUUUAUUUCCAAAUAACUGACAAAGUAAGUUGAUGGAUUUAUGUUUUUCUUCUGUCUUAACCUAGGGCAAGUUAUUUUUCACUUCUUUGUUACAAUCCAGUGCCUUGGGAGCACCUUAACAUAGAUUAAGAAAUCUAACAGUUAAAUUUUAAUUAUUUUCUAAUUUUUCUUUGUCCAUACUUGAUUACUUAAGGAUAAAGUUAUUUUACAAACAUACAUCCUGGCAGAAAAGAUAUCUGAAAAUCAAACCAAGCAAAUUAAUGUUCCACUUUUGCAUCUGCAAAAAAAGUCUCAAGAACCAGAAAUGAAUAAGAAAUGUGACAGAGAGGCUCAUAUAUCUGUAUAUUCAGAACAUCCUCCUGUACAAAAGCAUGAGGAACUCUGGAUCAAACAAGGCAAAUUAGAGUGGAAAAAUAAUUUAAAACUCAUCACCAGCGAGUUAAAGCGGAAGUUUGGUGAAACUUGUCAAAGACACAAAAUUGCUCCUUAUCCUAAGGAAGAGUCACUACAUGGUAACUUUAAAGAAGGAAUAAAGUUAAUGGAAAUACCUUCUAACUUGACAAAUGAUAGACUUGAUUGUGAGAAAAAGGAUACAUUUGCAGUGCCUGUCCCUCUAGUAUUUCGGGCAUUUCCUGAACAAAAAAAGUCUAGUCUCAAAUAUGAUUGCCACUCAUCUUCUGAUUUUUCUUUAAGUGAAAAUAAAUCGGUCUGUGAAAAUGAUAACAAACCAGACACUGAGCUUGUUUUUAACAAAAAUAAGAGUUUUAAAAGUGAUACAGAAAAUAAAAAGGUAAGGAACCCACUCGCUAUGUUUGAAGUGAAAGAAGACCAAGAGCUUGACAUGCCAAUGGCAAAAAGCAUGAACCAAAAUAGCACUAAUUCUAAAUUAGACAUUGGACGUAUACCUCAGUCUAGUCAUUCAGAAAGCCUUUUUGACAAAAGGUUUUCCAGCUCCAAUGAGAUGAGACAAAUGGCUCAAAUAAAAAGGUACAAUAGUUCUGCUGUUAAAAACACUUACAAGAAAACAAAAGACUUGUUCCAGAAGCCAUUCUGUGCAGAUAAUGACAGUACUAAUAAGUAUAGAAGUAUGGAACCCGAAGUAUAAAAGGUGAGUUCUUCUCCACCAUGUAGUUACAGAACAUCAGAAGUAUAUCUAAAAGAAGAAAUACAGCAAGAUGUUCAAAAGGUUAAGAAUGAGAUAGGCAUGUUACAGAUAGACUUCCUGGAUUUGGAAAAAGAGAAAGUUCAUCAUCAAAAAGGGAUAAAUGAAGAAAAGAGGAGACACCAAAGUAAUGGGACGGCAGUAUUCGAAAACGUGUGUGUUGUCGCUGCUGCUGCUGCUGGACUAAUUCCACAAAGAGAGAGUGGAAAAACUGAAAACCACCUCUUUCCUGUUGGGAAAAAGGAAGAUUCUGAUGGGUAAGCCUAUAGCGAUAUUUAAAUAGUAGUUAAUUAUUAUUUUCCUAUAAAACAGAUUCUAGUUGGAGCUAACAUUCAUGAUUAACAAAUUUUAUAUUUUUAGUAAGGCUGUUCCAUCCUGGGUGCUAAUUAGAAAAAUGCAAAUAACUAGAUACCAUUUUUUGCAGUCAUAGUGAUAAAUAUUUUAUUAAAAAAAUAAUAACCAAAGUUAGCAAAUGUGAGGAGAAAGGCAUUCCUAUACACUGUUGUUAGAUGAAAUUGGUAAAUCCUUUCUGAAGGGUGAUUUAGCAGUGUGUUUCAAAAAUUUUAAAUAUGGUGUCCC